GAUCCUGGCUCGGAACGAACGCUGGCGGCAGGCUUAACACAUGCAAGUUGAACGGGAUUUGUAUGGUGCUUGCACCAUGUAAUGAGAGUAGCGCACUGGUGAGUAACACGUGGGAACAUACCUUGAAGUGGGGGACAACAGUUGGAAACGACUGCUAAUACCGCAUAAUCCCUGAGGGGGGAAAGAUUUAUCGCUUUAAGAUUGGCCCGCGGAAGAUUAGGUAGUUGGUGGAGUAAAAGGGCCUACCAAGCCGACGA
RNAcentral lists this ribosomal RNA (257 nucleotides) under uncultured bacterium. RNAcentral's name for it is "partial 16S ribosomal RNA". It matches the Rfam family "Bacterial small subunit ribosomal RNA", at positions 15 to 279 of the family's 1533-position model. The record is from RNAcentral.